RNAcentral lists this ribosomal RNA (460 nucleotides) under uncultured bacterium. RNAcentral describes it as "partial 16S ribosomal RNA". It matches the Rfam family "Bacterial small subunit ribosomal RNA", at positions 338 to 795 of the family's 1533-position model. The record is from RNAcentral.
CCUACGGGCGGCAGCAGUGAGGAAUAUUGGUCAAUGGUCGCGAGACUGAACCAGCCAAGUAGCGUGAAGGAUGACUGCCCUAUGGGUUGUAAACUUCUUUUAUAAGGGAAUAAAGUGUGGCACGUGUGCCCUUUUGUAUGUACCUUAUGAAUAAGGAUCGGCUAACUCCGUGCCAGCAGCCGCGGUAAUACGGAGGAUCCGAGCGUUAUCCGGAUUUAUUGGGUUUAAAGGGAGCGUAGAGGGGUUGUUAAGUCAGGUGUGAAAGUUUGCGGCUCAACCGUAACAUUGCAGUUGAAACUGGCAGUCUUGAGUACAGGAGAGGUAGGCGGAAUGCGUGGUGUAGCGGUGAAAUGCUUAGAUAUCACGAAGAACUCCGAUUGCGAAGGCAGCUUACUGGACUGCCACUGACACUGAGGCUCGAAAGUGUGGGUAUCAAACAGGAUUAGAUACCCGAGUAGUC